UUUUAAAACUCUUAAAUAUAAUUUACAAAUAUCUGUUGAGGCUCUCUUAUGGGCAAUACGAUUUCUUAUAUUUUUAUCCAUUUUCGACAUUAUUUUAUAGACAGAUAGUAAGGAGUCGACACAACUUUUGAACACUCCUGAUGAGUAGUCCGCUUUUUCUUCGGAGUGAAAAGAUUUUAAUGCUUCAAAGCCUAGUUUUUCUCGUUUUUCUUUAUCUUUUAUUACAUACUUAAACAAUGUCUCUGCUGAUUGUCUUGCUAAGAAGAAAAGAGCACGAGGUUCUAUGUUUUCCCAUGUAAGCUCUUCUACUCCGGACUGGUUUUCUCUCGAAGAAAACCGUCCGUUACUAGCUUAAAUGAAUGACUUUAUUUUGCUAUU
RNAcentral lists this small RNA (378 nucleotides) under Arabidopsis thaliana (thale cress). RNAcentral's name for it is "ATSL196250". Lineage: Eukaryota; Viridiplantae; Streptophyta; Magnoliopsida; Brassicales; Brassicaceae. The record is from RNAcentral.